This 488-nucleotide ribosomal RNA is filed under the name uncultured bacterium. RNAcentral's name for it is "bacterial SSU rRNA". It matches the Rfam family "Bacterial small subunit ribosomal RNA", at positions 30 to 511 of the family's 1533-position model. The record is from RNAcentral.
AUUGAACGCUGGCGGCAUGCCUUACACAUGCAAGUCGAACGGCAGCACGGGAGCAAUCCUGGUGGCGAGUGGCGAACGGGUGAGUAAUAUAUCGGAACGUGCCCAGUCGUGGGGAUAACGUAGCGAAAGCUACGCUAAUACCGCAUACGAUCUAUGGAUGAAAGCGGGGGAUCGCAAGACCUCGCGCGAUUGGAGCGGCCGAUAUCAGAUUAGGUAGUUGGUGAGGUAAAGGCUCACCAAGCCGACGAUCUGUAGCUGGUCUGAGAGGACGACCAGCCACACUGGGACUGAGACACGGUCCAGACUCCUACGGGAGGCAGCAGUGGGGAAUAUUGGACAAUGGGCGAAAGCCUGAUCCAGCCAUGCCGCGUGUGUGAAGAAGGUCUUCGGAUUGUAAAGCACUUUAAGUUGGGAGGAAGGGUAGUAACCUAAUACGUUGCUACUUUGACGUUACCGACAGAAUAAGCACCGGCUAACUUACGUGCCAG